RNAcentral lists this ribosomal RNA (254 nucleotides) under uncultured bacterium. RNAcentral describes it as "partial 16S ribosomal RNA". It matches the Rfam family "Bacterial small subunit ribosomal RNA", at positions 524 to 776 of the family's 1533-position model. The record is from RNAcentral.
UACGUAGGGUGCGAGCGUUAAUCGGAAUUACUGGGCGUAAAGCGUGCGCAGGCGGUCUGUUAAGACCGAUGUGAAAUCCCCGGGCUUAACCUGGGAACUGCAUUGGUGACUGGCAGGCUUUGAGUGUGGCAGAGGGAGGUAGAAUUCCACGUGUAGCAGUGAAAUGCGUAGAUAUCUGGAGGAACACCGGUGGCGAAGGCGGCGUCCUGGACCAACACUGACACUGAGGAGCGAAAGCCAGGGGAGCAAACGGG